RNAcentral lists this long non-coding RNA (1695 nucleotides) under Daucus carota (carrot). RNAcentral describes it as "long non-coding RNA (DCAR_LNC001929)". The record is from RNAcentral. Lineage: Eukaryota; Viridiplantae; Streptophyta; Magnoliopsida; Apiales; Apiaceae.
UACAACAGCAGUGAUGCCCAUACCUGCAAGAGAAAGUGAUUAGUAACCAUAAAACUGGCGAUUGGAGACAGAUAUAUGGUGAGAGAUUUCUGUUUCAGUAUGUGAUAUUAAGUAUCUUUUAUUUAUUAAUUUAGAACUUUAUAUUGGAAGUGCAGGGUGUUAACUGUUAAGUGUUACUGUCUUGAGGUUCCGUGAUCAAAAACUGCAUACUCUUACCGGCCAUCUACUAGCUGGGCUGAGUUCUCUUACUCCUAUUUGUGCUUCAUCGAAAAACAUCCUUGCCCUCUUAAUUUGCUUCUUCAUGAAAUUCCUCCAUUUAUCGGUAACCUUCCCCGCAAAUAUAUCUUCAUCAGAAAGCCCUGCUUGAGCCAGUUCAUCUUGUGGUAGAUAAACCCUUCCUCUUCUGGCACUAACAGAAAACAAACAUAAUAAAAGAGCACAAAUCAGCAAAUAGAGGUGAAAAACUCCUUUGCAUUUGGAUAGACAGCAUUUUGUACUAGGUAAUUAUCACGUUAGGAUUGCAAGGACUUUGCAACAAAGCUAAAGACAGUAACGUAGCAAAAAAAAAACAAAACAAACUAAAGACAGUAAACGUGUUCGUAAUUUGUGUUUUACUGAAUAACAUCACUAGAUUUAACGAUGCAAUUUUGUUCAUCAAAAUUGAUAAACGAUCAUUCAACUAUACGCUACCCUCUUCGAUUGCUUUUAAGAACAAAAUGAAAAUUGUAAAAGAUUGACAAUAUGGGUUUAAGAGCCAGAUGCAUACUCUUCUCCAACAUCCCUGAGUAUGUUAGUCAAUUGAUUAGCGAGCCCUAAAGCCAAAGCAGCAUUAUAAACACUCUCCGUUGUUGCCUGUGAAUUAGGUGCAAUGCCCAUAAUUGGAACGCUCAUCAAUCCAACAGUACCAGCAACAUAAUAGCAAUAAAGAUAUAGCUCGUCGAAGUUUUUGUAUCUCGACUUCUUAAGGUCCAUCCUCAUCCCUUCAAUCAUAUCUUUGAAUGGCUAAAAAGAAGACAUCUAUCAGAGUUUGUAAGCAUAAAAUGUUACUGUACAACAUAAAAAAUCAAACUCCGGACAUAAUAUCCAACUUUCUUGACCAUGAGCAGAAACAACAGAAUAUUAUGCAAAGAUGGGGGAAACUUCCUAAACUCGAUUGUGCAGAUUAAGGAUACUUAUAUAUCUAUUAAAACAUAUGUCUUAACAAGUAGAAUGUAGUAGCGUUACUAAUGUAGGCCACUUCAAAGAACAAAUGUUCACAAAGGUUGUUGAUAUAGUGGAUAUAACUCCACACUGAUUGUUGCUACCAUAAUGCAGACUUCACAUGAAGGACUUUAAAAGUCAAUCUAUAGAUGUUGUAAAACAGCUAAAUACUAAUUCAUUUGAUUAAAUGGCAGCUGAAAUGGUGUUGCCUAUACUGCCCAAUGUUGUAAAAUAUUAAUCAGAACUUGGCUGAUGAUUUUGAAAAGUGGAUUUAAGCUGAACCUUAAGCAUCAAUAUUGCUAAAAUGAAUACAGCAGAUGAAAAUAUUGUAGCAGUCAAGCAAUUCAGUGUACUAACUUGGAUGUCAACAGGAAACUUCAUUACUGUAUCUGAUAAAGCAGCAUCAAGCAUAUCAAAUGGACGCCCCUUGAAAAGAUCUUCUAAUCUCAACUCCCACCUAUCCAAAGCUGAAGGAGUUAUAUGUGACGCAUUAGG